RNAcentral lists this microRNA (23 nucleotides) under Taeniopygia guttata (zebra finch). RNAcentral describes it as "tgu-miR-2969". The record is from miRBase by way of RNAcentral. Lineage: Eukaryota; Metazoa; Chordata; Aves; Passeriformes; Estrildidae.
GCAGCUGUAGGAGCCAGUGAUGG